UAAUACGGAGGGGGCGAGCGUUGUUCGGAAUCACUGGGUGUAAAGGGUGCGUAGGCGGUCCGAUAAGUCUGAUGUGAAAGCCCUGGGCUCAACUCAGGAACUGCAUUGGAAACUGACGGGCUAGAGUACCGGAGAGGGAAGCGGAAUUCCUGGUGUAGCGGUGAAAUGCGUAGAUACCAGGAGGAACACCGGUGGCGAAGGCGGUUUCCUGGCCGAGUACUGACGCUGAU
Molecule: ribosomal RNA, 230 nt
Filed under: uncultured bacterium
Lineage: Bacteria
Description: partial 16S ribosomal RNA
Rfam family: Bacterial small subunit ribosomal RNA
Source: RNAcentral